UACCAGCUCUCCGAGUGGUAGGGAUGAUUAUUGGGCUUAAAGCGUCCGUAGCCGGCUUAGCAAGUCUCCUGUUAAAUUCAGCGACCUAAUCGUUGAGCCGCGGGAGAUGCUACUAGGCUAGGAGGCGGGAGAGGUCAACGGUACUUCCGGGGUAGGGGUGAAAUCCUAUAAUCCCGGGAGGACCACCAGUGGCGAAGGCUGUUGACUAGAACGCGCUCGACGGUGAGGGACGAAAGCUGGGGGAGCGAACCGGAUUAGAUACCCGGGUAGUCCCAGCUGUAAACGAUGCGAGCUAGGUGUUGGGGUGGCUACGUGCCACUUCAGUGCCGCAGGGAAGCCAUUAAGCUCGCCGCCUGGGGAGUACGGCCGCAAGGCUGAAACUUAAAGGAAUUGGCGGGGGAGCACCACAAGGCGUGAAGCUUGCGGUUC
Molecule: ribosomal RNA, 429 nt
Filed under: uncultured archaeon
Lineage: Archaea
Description: bacterial SSU rRNA
Rfam family: Archaeal small subunit ribosomal RNA
Source: RNAcentral